This 496-nucleotide ribosomal RNA is filed under the name uncultured bacterium. RNAcentral describes it as "partial 16S ribosomal RNA". It matches the Rfam family "Bacterial small subunit ribosomal RNA", at positions 30 to 523 of the family's 1533-position model. The record is from RNAcentral.
AUUGAACGCUGGCGGAAUGCUUUACACAUGCAAGUCGAACGGUAGAGGGGGCGACCCCUCGAGAGUGGCGAACGGGUGAGUAAUAUAUCGGAACGUGCCCAGUCGUGGGGGAUAACGUAGCGAAAGUUACGCUAAUACCGCAUACGACCUAAGGAUGAAAGCGGGGGAUCACAAGACCUCGCCCGAUUGCAGCGGCCGAUAUCAGAUUAGGUAGUUGGUGGGGUAAAGGCUCACCAAGCCAACGAUCUGUAGCUGGUCUGAGAGGACGACCAGCCACACUGGAACUGAGACACGGUCCAGACUCCUACGGGAGGCAGCAGUGGGGAAUUUUGGACAAUGGACGAAAGUCUGAUCCAGCCAUUCCGCGUGCAGGAUGAAGGCCCUCGGGUUGUAAACUGCUUUUGUACGGAACGAAAAGGUCUCUCUUAAUACGGGGGACUCAUGACGGUACCGUAAGAAUAAGCACCGGCUAACUACGUGCCAGCCGCCGCCGUAA